Molecule: transfer RNA, 65 nt
Filed under: Nuttallochiton mirandus
Lineage: Eukaryota; Metazoa; Mollusca; Polyplacophora; Chitonida; Mopaliidae
Description: tRNA-Leu
Source: RNAcentral
GCUAGAGUGGCAGAAAUAGUGCAAUAGAGUUAAGUUCUAUAAAUAAAAUAUAAUUUUCUUUAGCU